Molecule: non-coding RNA, 1959 nt
Organism: Peromyscus maniculatus bairdii (prairie deer mouse)
Lineage: Eukaryota; Metazoa; Chordata; Mammalia; Rodentia; Cricetidae
Source: RefSeq, a predicted model, not a curated record
AUAAAGCUCUCUGGGAAGUUCCAGAUUAACCAAAAUUGACAUAACUCGAAACUAGAAGAGUGGCUAGGGGACAAUUUUAUUCAGUUCCUAAUAUCUCUCAGCGUUUAUGACCAGCAAACAUCCUGUUUCAGACAAAAAGUUUGAAAAGAUAAUGCAAUCCUCCAAAUGGGUCUUAGCUCACAGGUUGAGAACCCCUGCUCUACAGCAUUCUCAGAAGAAUGUGGAGUCCCUUCUUUCCUGGAAGCUGACAGUAUAGUACCAUAUACCAUCAACUACUGCUCACCAGUUUAACGUCGUAAAACACUUACUGCUCAGAACUGAUUGUUACUGUCUAAUCUGAAGGUCAGUAUUAGAAGAAAAAUCAUCACCUUCAGGUAAGUGAACAAACAGCCCAGGUCACUGCACUUCUUUGCCUUUGAUGACCACAGCUGUUGUUCUCAACCUCAAUAACUAAUAAGCAGUGGUUAUUCUCUUGUAUAGUCACACACUGACCCAAAACCAAAUAAAGAGAUAUUCUAACAGUUUUGUUUCAUUAGCCUAAAGUAUGUUUUCUAAGGUCAUCUGUGAUAAGUAGCAGGGGCUGGCAACACAUGGUGCUCCCUUAUUUGAGUAACAGAUACAAUUCUUCAUUCCUAUUCUUGUUUACUUAUUUAAUAAAAAAAAUUCAAUAUACUUAUUAAGCACUGACUGUAGACCAAGCACUAGGGGAUACAGUGGGGAAAAAAAUCAAAUAUUGUCCUUGCUCUCAAGGAGCUAAGACGCUAGUGGGAAAGAUCAUUCCUUAAAGCGCUGUAUAUUAAUAUCUACGUAAAUUCAUAUUAAAAUUCAAUAGAGUUAUUUGGUCUUAACAGAAUUUCUCCAUGAAUAAUUUUAUAAGGUAAAGAUCUGACUAAUAUAUCUAGGAGUUGGGUCGCAUCCAUUAGACUUGAUUAAAACACAGUGUAUUUUCCUUCUUGAAUGAUAAUUUUUUUUUGCAAGUGGGUCUUACUAUGAAGCCUAAGCUGAAAGUGAACCUGGCGCCCUUCUGCCUCUGCCUCCUGAGUGCUGGAUUAUAGACUUGUGCCCUAUUCCUGCACUACAUAGGAUUUUCUGAAAAAGUGGGAGGAUAGCACACAGGAGAAAUGAGAGGCAGCCACUGGGGACAGUGUCUUAAGAAGUUUCUAGGGCUUGGAUCUUAAGGACAAUUAGAGUUGAUAAACAAAAGGAAGAGAUAACAGAGAAAAAGAAACACGUUUAUAGGAAACUACAGAUCCAUCUACACAUAAUGUGUUCCCUAUACUUUGGCUGCUCCUCCUGUGGAAUUAAAUCUUGGUGUACCCUUCUAGACAUUGUUCUGGACUUAUGUUGGCCCUCAUAGUCAAGAAGAAAGCUGGUAGAAAGAAGGCACCAUGUGGUUUCAAAGCAGUAAAGAAGCUAUAUUUUACUGGGUGAAAUUAAACUAUCAACAUACAAGACGGCAGAAAACUAGGAGGCGGAGAUGAGCACCGGCAUCCUGAGGAUCUUAUCUCUGACAUCAACUCAAGAGCAGAUACUAGAAGUUGCUUGCCACCCACACCAACAACCUGAAUUCCAUCCCUGGAGCCCACAGGAUAGAAGGAAAGAAUCAAAUCCUAAAAGUUGCCAAUGACCUCCACAUGUUCAUUGUGGAAUGUGCAUGCACACAAACUAAAUAAAUGUGAAAAAAAAAAGGAAAGAAAAUUAAAACAACAAACAUUAGAAAAGUACAUUAGGGCAAGAACCUGCAAGGUGUUCUAUUUUCCCCCAAUUUCCUUCAUGGUUUCAAGAUGAAAACACAUUGGCUGAACACAGAAAAGUGGCUAUUCCUUUUGUUCUUGAUGCCAUUGACUUUUACUUAUAUUUUUACUGUACCUUGUUUUUUUGUUUGUUUGUUUUUGUUUUUGUUUUUUGAGACAGGGUUUCUCUGUGUAGCUUUGCGCCUUUCCUGGAACUCACUUGGUA